CAAUAGCGUAUAUUAAAGUUGUUGCGGUUAAAAAGCUCGUAGUUGGAUUUCUGCUGAGGACGACCGGUCCGCCCUCUGGGUGAGUAUCUGGUUCGGCCUGGGCAUCUUCUUGGAGAGCGUAGCUGCACUUGACUGUGUGGUGCGGUAUCCAGGACUUUUACUUUGAGGAAAUUAGAGUGUUUCAAGCAGGCAUACGCCUUGAAUACGUUAGCAUGGAAUAAUAAGAUAGGACCCCAGUUCUAUUUGUUGGUUUCUAGAACUAAGGUAAUGAUUAAUAGGGAUAAUUGGGGCGAUUCGUAUUAACACGUCAGAGGUGAAAUUCUUGGAUUGUGUUACGACGAACUACUGCGAAAGCAUUUGCCAAGGAUGUUUUCAUUGAUCAAGAACGAAAGUGCGGGGAUCGAAGACGAUUAGAU
This 416-nucleotide ribosomal RNA is filed under the name uncultured eukaryote. RNAcentral's name for it is "SSU rRNA". It matches the Rfam family "Eukaryotic small subunit ribosomal RNA", at positions 592 to 1013 of the family's 1831-position model. The record is from RNAcentral.